This 393-nucleotide ribosomal RNA is filed under the name uncultured bacterium. RNAcentral's name for it is "bacterial SSU rRNA". It matches the Rfam family "Bacterial small subunit ribosomal RNA", at positions 28 to 419 of the family's 1533-position model. The record is from RNAcentral.
GAUGAACGCUAGCGGCAGGCCUAAUACAUGCAAGCCGAACGGCAAGGUUUUCAGCAAUGGGAACCCUAGAGUGGUGUAAGGGUGCGUAACACGUAUGCAAUCUACCCUUAACAGGCGGAUAGGUCCCCGAAAGGGGAAUUAAGCCGCCAUAGGAAUUUUGGAUGGCAUCAUUUGAAAUUUAAACUACGGUGGUUAAGGAUGAGCAUGCGCAUGAUUAGUUAGUUGGCGGGGUAACGGCCCACCAAGACUUUGAUCAUUAGGGGAACUGAGAGGUUGGUCCCCCANACUGGCACUGAGAUACGGGCCAGACUCCUACGGGAGGCAGCAGUAGGGAAUAUUGGACAAUGGGUGAGAGCCUGAUCCAGCCAUGCCGCGUGCAGGAAGAAGGCCUUC